CCAAUAGCGUAUAUUAAAGUUGUUGCAGUUAAAAAGCUCGUAGUUGAAUUUCGGGGUUAGUAGGUUGGUCAUGCCUCUGGUAUGUACUGGUCUUACUGAUUCCUCCUUCCUGAUGAUCCGUAAUGCCAUUUAUUUGGUGUUGCUGGGAAUUUGGACUGUUACUUUGAAAAAAUUAGAGUGUUUAAAGCAAGCUAACGCUUGAAUACAUUAGCAUGGAAUAAUGAAAUAGGACGUUCGAUCCUAUUUUGUUGGUUUCUAGGAUUGACGUAAUGAUUAAUAGGGAUAGUUGGGGGCAUUAGUAUUAAAUUGUCAGAGGUGAAAUUCUUGGAUUUAUUGAAGACUAACUACUGCGAAAGCAUUUGCCAAGGAUGUUUUCAUUAAUCAAGAACGGAAGUUAGGGGAUCGAAGACGAUCAGAUACCGUCGUAGUCUUAACCAUAAACUAUGCCGACUAGGGAUCGGAUGAUGUUAAUUUUUUAAUGACUCAUUCGGCGCCUUACG
RNAcentral lists this ribosomal RNA (500 nucleotides) under uncultured Glomeromycotina. RNAcentral describes it as "partial small subunit ribosomal RNA". It matches the Rfam family "Eukaryotic small subunit ribosomal RNA", at positions 591 to 1092 of the family's 1831-position model. Lineage: Eukaryota; Fungi; Glomeromycota. The record is from RNAcentral.